AAGCGCCGGCUAACUACGUGCCAGCAGCCGCGGUAAUACGUAGGGCGCAAGCGUUAUCCGGAAUUAUUGGGCGUAAAGAGCUCGUAGGCGGUUUGUCGCGUCUGCCGUGAAAGUCCGGGGCUCAACUCCGGAUCUGCGGUGGGUACGGGCAGACUAGAGUGAUGUAGGGGAGACUGGAAUUCCUGGUGUAGCGGUGAAAUGCGCAGAUAUCAGGAGGAACACCGAUGGCGAAGGCAGGUCUCUGGGCAUUAACUGACGCUGAGGAGCGAAAGCAUGGGGAGCGAACAGGAUUAGAUACCCUGGUAGUCCAUGCCGUAAACGUUGGGCACUAGGUGUGGGGGACAUUCCACGUUUUCCGCGCCGUAGCUAACGCAUUAAGUGCCCCGCCUGGGGAGUACGGCCGCAAGGCUAAAACUCAAAGGAAUUGACGGGGGCCCGCACAAGCGGCGGAGCAUGCGGAUUAAUUCGAUGCAACGCGAAGAACCUUACCAAGGCUUGACAUGAACCGGUAACACCUGGAGACAGGUGCCCCGCUUGCGGUCGGUUUACAGGUGGUGCAUGGUUGUCGUCAGCUCGUGUCGUGAGAUGUUGGGUUAAGUCCCGCAACGAGCGCAACCCUCGUUCUAUGUUGCCAGCACGUGAUGGUGGGGACUCAUAGGAGACUGCCGGGGUCAACUCGGAGGAAGGUGGGGACGACGUCAAAUCAUCAUGCCCCUUAUGUCUUGGGCUUCACGCAUGCUACAAUGGCCGGUACAAAGGGUUGCGAUACUGUGAGGUGGAGCUAAUCCCAAAAAGCCGGUCUCAGUUCGGAUUGGGGUCUGCAACUCGACCCCAUGAAGUCGGAGUCGCUAGUAAUCGCAGAUCAGCAACGCUGCGGUGAAUACGUUCCCGGGCCUUGUACACACCGCCCGUCAAGUCACGAAAGUUGGUAACACCCGAAGC
RNAcentral lists this ribosomal RNA (942 nucleotides) under Arthrobacter sp. Its description in RNAcentral is "bacterial SSU rRNA". It matches the Rfam family "Bacterial small subunit ribosomal RNA", at positions 488 to 1427 of the family's 1533-position model. The record is from RNAcentral. Lineage: Bacteria; Bacillati; Actinomycetota; Actinomycetes; Micrococcales; Micrococcaceae.